This 253-nucleotide ribosomal RNA is filed under the name uncultured bacterium. Its description in RNAcentral is "partial 16S ribosomal RNA". It matches the Rfam family "Bacterial small subunit ribosomal RNA", at positions 524 to 776 of the family's 1533-position model. The record is from RNAcentral.
GACAGAGGGUGCAACCGUUGUUCGGAAUUACUGGGCGUAAAGCGCGUGUAGGCGGCUCGGCAAGUCGGGUGUGAAAGCCCUGGGCUUAACCUAGGAAGUGCACUCGAAACUGCCAAGCUUGAGUUCUGGAGAGGAAGGCGGAAUUCUCGGUGUAGAGGUGAAAUUCGUAGAUAUCGAGAGGAACACCGGUGGCGAAGGCGGCCUUCUGGACAGCAACUGACGCUGAGACGCGAAAGCGUGGGGAGCAAACAGG